RNAcentral lists this ribosomal RNA (407 nucleotides) under uncultured bacterium. RNAcentral's name for it is "bacterial SSU rRNA". It matches the Rfam family "Bacterial small subunit ribosomal RNA", at positions 355 to 774 of the family's 1533-position model. The record is from RNAcentral.
UGGGGAAUAUUGCACAAUGGGCGCAAGCCUGAUGCAGCAACGCCGCGUGAGGGACGACGGCCUUCGGGUUGUAAACCUCUUUUGGCAGGGAAGAAGCGAAAGUGACGGUACCUGCAGAAAAAGCACCGGCUAACUACGUGCCAGCAGCCGCGGUGAUACGUAGGGUGCAAGCGUUGUCCGGAAUUAUUGGGCGUAAAGAGCUCGUAGGCGGUUUGUCGCGUCUGCUGUGAAAACCCGAGGCUCAACCUCGGGCCUGCAGUGGGUACGGGCAAACUAGAGUGCGGUAGGGGAAAUUGGAAUUCCUGGUGUAGCGGUGGAAUGCGCAGAUAUCAGGAGGAACACCGAUGGCGAAGGCAGAUCUCUGGGCCGUAACUGACGCUGAGGAGCGAAAGCAUGGGGAGCGAACA